UGCAAGUCGAGCGGAAACGGCAGUAUUGAAGCUUCGGUGGAUUUACUGGACGUCGAGCGGCGGACGGGUGAGUAACGGCUGGGAACCUGCCCUGACGAGGGGGAUAACCGUUGGAAACGACGGCUAAUACCGCAUAAUGUCUUGAUUCGUUAGAGGCUGGACCCAAGGUGGCCUCUACCUGGWARCUAUCCCSKUGGGAUGGGCCCAGUUAGGAUUAGCUAGUUGGUAAGGGAAUGGCUUACCCAGGCAACGAUCCUUAGCUGGUUUGAGAGGAUGAUCAGCCACACUGGGACUGAGACACGGCCCAGACUCCUACGGGAGGCAGGAGUGGGGAAUAUUGCACAAUGGGGGAGACCCUGAUGCAGCCAUGCCGCGUGUGUGAAGAAGGCCUUCGGGUUGUAAAGCACUUUCAGCAGUGAGGAAGGUCGUGUACUUAAUACGUGCACGGCUUGACGUUAGCUGCAGAAGAAGCACCGGCUAACUCCGUGCCAGCAGCCGCGGUAAUACGGAGGGUGCGAGCGUUAAUCGGAAUUACUGGGCGUAAAGCGCAUGCAGGCGGUUUGUUAAGUCAGAUGUGAAAGCCCGGGGCUCAACCUCGGAACCGCAUUUGAAACUGGCAGGCUAGAGUCUUGUAGAGGGGGGUAGAAUUUCAGGUGUAGCGGUGAAAUGCGUAGAGAUCUGAAGGAAUACCAGUGGCGAAGGCGGCCCCCUGGACAAAGACUGACGCUCAGAUGCGAAAGCGUGGGUAGCAAACAGGAUUAGAUACCCUGGUAGUCCACGCCGUAAACGCUGUCUACUUGGAGGUUGAGGUUUUAGACUUUGGCUUUCGGCGCUAACGCAUUAAGUAGACCGCCUGGGGAGUACGGCCGCAAGGUUAAAACUCAAAUGAAUUGACGGGGGCCCGCACAAGCGGUGGAGCAUGUGGUUUAAUUCGAUGCAACGCGAAGAACCUUACCUACUCUUGACAUCCAGCGAAGCCUUUAGAGAUAGAGGCGUGCCUUCGGGAGCGCUGAGACAGGUGCUGCAUGGCUGUCGUCAGCUCGUGUUGUGAAAUGUUGGGUUAAGUCCCGCAACGAGCGCAACCCUUAUCCUUGUUUGCCAGCACRUAAUGGUGGGAACUCCAGGGAGACUGCCGGUGAUAAACCGGAGGAAGGUGGGGACGACGUCAAGUCAUCAUGGCCCUUACGAGUAGGGCUACACACGUGCUACAAUGGCAGAUACAGAGGGCAGCGAGACAGCGAUGUUUAGCGAAUCCCUUAAAGUUUGUCGUAGUCCGGAUUGGAGUCUGCAACUCGACUCCAUGAAGUCGGAAUCGCUAGUAAUCGUGGAUCAGAAUGCCACGGUGAAUACGUUCCCGGGCCUUGUACACACCGCCCGUCACACCAUGGGAGUGGGCUGCACCAGAAGUAGAUAGCUUAACCUUCGGGAGGGCGUUUACCACGGUGUGGUUCAUGACUGGGGUGAAGUCGUAACAAGGUAGCCGU
This 1484-nucleotide ribosomal RNA is filed under the name Salinivibrio costicola. RNAcentral's name for it is "bacterial SSU rRNA". Lineage: Bacteria; Pseudomonadati; Pseudomonadota; Gammaproteobacteria; Vibrionales; Vibrionaceae. The record is from RNAcentral.